Herpailurus yagouaroundi (jaguarundi) is the source of this 1631-nucleotide long non-coding RNA. RefSeq lists it as uncharacterized. Lineage: Eukaryota; Metazoa; Chordata; Mammalia; Carnivora; Felidae. The transcript has 4 exons. The record is from RefSeq and is a predicted model, not a curated record.
AAAAAGGACUAACAAAAACAAACAAACAAAAAAUACAAAUCUAAGAGGAAAUGGAGAACGUAGGAUUAUACCAAGUAAAGAAAAACUGGAAUAUAGCAAGUUUUGAAUGAUGGUGCUAUCAAUAGUAAGAGGAACCACAAACUUCUCUAAAGCUUACUACAUACCAAGAACAUCCACUUAUUUUAGCCUUGUGAAGACGGUGCUAUUUCCAUCCUCAUUUUAAAGCAAAAGAAACAGAAGUUUCAGAGGUAACGCAAUUGGUUGAAGGUCACACAUCUAAUAAGAAAAAUAUGUAACCUGAGCCAUUAAUGAUUAUGCUAUACUGCAUUGCCAGAAUAAAAUAAAAAGAUAACUGGUCUUUAGCAGAUACUGCAGAAGAGAGCUGUCUGAUGAAACAAUAUUCAAUGCAGUCCUAAAUUAAGAAGGCCGAGGACACUGUAACGUUACAGAGACUAGACCAGCUUUUACUAUUGUAUUAUAAAUCUUACUCUUCCCUGAAUCUUCAAAUAAUGUCAGGAAAUUGUUAUUGAUUUAUAUCAUGGACUGAUACAGAGUGAACAUGGCAUCAAUCAUUGUGGAAAAUUUCACAAAAGGGUUGUUUUAAAAUGAAGUCUAAAAUAUGACACAAUUAUGUAUUAAUAGGAAACUCAGAGUAAAUCAGCUGGAAAUCAAUGGGCAGUACUCAGAAGAAGUACCACCUUUAGAUAUUAAAACUAAGAACAGCAGUUAGGGGGGAAAGAAAGUGUAAAUGAAACGAAUAGAUUUCUGUAAAAGCUCAACAUACCGAGCAAGCAGGCCAACUUAAAACUUAGUUAAUAAGAUUCUUCUCAAUUUUUCAAGUUUUAAGUUUAAUUUGACUUCCAUUCUUCCAACAAAAACCACACAGGAAAUGGAGAGAAUACUGAAAUGUUGUUAAUUUGCUGUUCUUACAGAAUAAAGAGUCAGCUUUCUCUUUUUCCACCAGGAAGAAUGAAAGACCUACCUAACUAGGGGCGUUUAUUCCUAAGAAACUCAAAGUGAUUUGUACUCUGCUGUGAUGUCUACCAGAAACAGUAAAAGGACCACACUGCACCAGAAGUUCAUGGCUUGAAGGGCACACAGAGGUCGGACAGCUUGAUGCCUUUCUCCUUUCCAGUGUUCGGAUUGGAUUACACUGUAUAAAUAUAUUCAGAGCAGAGGACAAGGAAAAGAAAUGGGUACAAAGAGGACAAAAGCUGUAUUUCUCACAUGCAAACAGGUUUUUCUGUGGAGAAGGACAUUCUAAUUCCCAAGAAGUCAAUUAACAAUGGACUCUCAGAGAUCUUCACAAAAAGGCUCAGGGUAGCCCCACUAUCUGGUAAAGCUGUUUAACACCUACUGUAAAGACGUCUAGGGAAAUGGGAUACUAGCAACCAAGACAAGUUUGAGGACACGUAUUUGUCCGCAUCACCACGGGCAGUUCCACUCUGCUUCCAGAGGAGGUUCCAUGCUCUUCCCUUCUAUGAAAGGACCUUUCUCUCUUGCUUCUUAUGAAUCUGGGGAGGUACACAUUCUUAGUGUACAAGAUCAGGUUUGACUUAUGUAUUCCCUUUCCUGUCUCAAACAAUAAACCAAAAAAAAAGUUUUGUUGAAAAAUUAUUUUCUCAAAUAAA